GCGGCGGACGGGUGAGUAACACGUGGGUAACCUACCUAUAAGACUGGAAUAACUUCGGGAAACCGGAGCUAAUGCCGGAUAACAUAUAGAACCGCAUGGUUCUAUAGUGAAAGAUGGUUUUGCUAUCACUUAUAGAUGGACCCGCGCCGUAUUAGCUAGUUGGUAAGGUAAUGGCUUACCAAGGCGACGAUACGUAGCCGACCUGAGAGGGUGAUCGGCCACACUGGAACUGAGACACGGUCCAGACUCCUACGGGAGGCAGCAGUAGGGAAUCUUCCGCAAUGGGCGAAAGCCUGACGGAGCAACGCCGCGUGAGUGAUGAAGGUUUUCGGAUCGUAAAACUCUGUUAUUAGGGAAGAACAAAUGCGUAAGUAACUGUGCGCAUCUUGACGGUACCUAAUCAGAAAGCCACGGCUAACUACGUGCCAGCAGCCGCGGUAAUACGUAGGUGGCAAGCGUUAUCCGGAAUUAUUGGGCGUAAAGCGCGCGUAGGCGGUUUCUUAAGUCUGAUGUGAAAGCCCACGGCUCAACCGUGGAGGGUCAUUGGAAACUGGGAAACUUGAGUGCAGAAGAGGAAAGUGGAAUUCCAUGUGUAGCGGUGAAAUGCGCAGAGAUAUGGAGGAACACCAGUGGCGAAGGCGACUUUCUGGUCUGUAACUGACGCUGAUGUG
RNAcentral lists this ribosomal RNA (671 nucleotides) under Staphylococcus sp. NEAU-ST15-15. Its description in RNAcentral is "bacterial SSU rRNA". It matches the Rfam family "Bacterial small subunit ribosomal RNA", at positions 95 to 753 of the family's 1533-position model. Lineage: Bacteria; Bacillati; Bacillota; Bacilli; Caryophanales; Staphylococcaceae. The record is from RNAcentral.